GACGAACGCUGGCGGCGUGCUUAAUACAUGCAAGUCGAGCGAGGUCCAUCUGGUGGCAACACCAGUGAAGGCCGAGCGGCGAACGGGUGAGUAACACGUGAGCAACCUGCCCCGAAGUCUGGAAUAACAUCGGGAAACCGGUGCUAAUACCGGAUCGCCCCACCUGACCGCAUGAUCGGGUGAGGAAAGAUUUAUCGCUUCGGGAGGGGCUCGCGGCCUAUCAGCUAGUGGUGGGGUAACGGCCUACCAAGGCAUCGACGGGUAGCUGGUCUGAGAGGACGACCAGCCACACUGGGACUGAGACACGGCCCAGACUCCUACGGGAGGCAGCAGUAGGGAAUCUUGCGCAAUGGGCGAAAGCCUGACGCAGCAACGCCGCGUGGGGGAUGACGGCCUCGGUU
RNAcentral lists this ribosomal RNA (401 nucleotides) under uncultured bacterium. Its description in RNAcentral is "bacterial SSU rRNA". It matches the Rfam family "Bacterial small subunit ribosomal RNA", at positions 28 to 424 of the family's 1533-position model. The record is from RNAcentral.